RNAcentral lists this ribosomal RNA (253 nucleotides) under uncultured bacterium. Its description in RNAcentral is "partial 16S ribosomal RNA". It matches the Rfam family "Bacterial small subunit ribosomal RNA", at positions 524 to 776 of the family's 1533-position model. The record is from RNAcentral.
UACGUAGGGUGCGAGCGUUGUCCGGAAUUAUUGGGCGUAAAGAGCUUGUAGGCGGUUUGUCGCGUCUGCUGUGAAAAUCCGGGGCUCAACCCCGGACUUGCAGUGGGUACGGGCAGACUAGAGUGAUGUAGGGGAGACUGGAAUUCCUGGUGUAGCGGUGAAAUGCGCAGAUAUCAGGAGGAACACCGGUGGCGAAGGCGGUUCUCUGGGCCUGUACUGACGCUGAGGAACGAAAGCGUGGGGAGCGAACAGG